GCUAAUACCGGAUAACAACAGAUGAUGCCUAUCAACUGUUUAAAAGAUGGUUCUGCUAUCACUCUUGGAUGGACCUGCGGUGCAUUAGCUAGUUGGUAGGGUAACGGCCCACCAAGGCGAUGAUGCAUAGCCGAGUUGAGAGACUGAUCGGCCACAUUGGGACUGAGACACGGCCCAAACUCCUACGGGAGGCAGCAGCU
Molecule: ribosomal RNA, 200 nt
Filed under: uncultured Lactobacillus sp.
Lineage: Bacteria; Bacillati; Bacillota; Bacilli; Lactobacillales; Lactobacillaceae
Description: partial 16S ribosomal RNA
Rfam family: Bacterial small subunit ribosomal RNA
Source: RNAcentral